This is a non-coding RNA of Miniopterus natalensis, 360 nucleotides long. The record is from RefSeq and is a predicted model, not a curated record. Lineage: Eukaryota; Metazoa; Chordata; Mammalia; Chiroptera; Miniopteridae.
UCCGCCUGGGGUCGCCUGUGCACUGCAGCUCCCGAAGGCUUUUCUGCACGGACAUGCAGUUCAAGAUACAGCCUACAGCCUGGCCUUUGGGUUACCAGUUCAUCCUGAUACUCUACAAUAACAGGUUGAAAUUUGUGCUUUUCUGGCCUUUUCACCCAUGAAACAUGAGCCAUCUAUUAGGGCAAAGCUUGAAACAGCAGUGGUUCUUUGACAAGUGGUUGGCCAUAUCGUAUCUCUGCUCUGUUAUGGAAAAUUAUGUUUGUGAUUUCUGUUUAUUCUUUCAUGGAUGUUUGAACUUUAAAAGAACAAAUUAUGAAACUUUUGGAGAAGUAAAAUAAGAGUCUUUAAACUUGGUUGCUA